RNAcentral lists this ribosomal RNA (760 nucleotides) under uncultured Parasola. RNAcentral describes it as "partial 28S ribosomal RNA". It matches the Rfam family "Eukaryotic large subunit ribosomal RNA", at positions 216 to 962 of the family's 3401-position model. The record is from RNAcentral. Lineage: Eukaryota; Fungi; Basidiomycota; Agaricomycetes; Agaricales; Psathyrellaceae.
GAAUCCCGUCUUCGACACGGAUCCCCGGGGCUUUGUGGUACGCUCUCAAAGAGUCGAGUUGUUUGGGAAUGCAGCUCAAAAUGGGUGGUAAAUUCCAUCUAAAGCUAAAUAUUGGCGAGAGACCGAUAGCGAACAAGUACCGUGAGGGAAAGAUGAAAAGAACUUUGGAAAGAGAGUUAAACAGUACGUGAAAUUGCUGAAAGGGAAACGCUUGAAGUCAGUCGCGUCGUCUGGAAAUCAACCUUGCUUUUGUUGGGUGUACUUUCCAGUUGACGGGCCAGCAUCAGUUUUGACCGGUGGAAAAAGGCUAAGGGAAUGUGGCACCUUCGGGUGUGUUAUAGCCCUUGGUUGUAUACAUCGGUUGGGACUGAGGAACUCAGCACGCCGCAAGGCAGGUCUUCGGACACUUUCGUGCUUAGGAUGCUGGCAUAAUGGCUUUAAUCGACCCGUCUUGAAACACGGACCAAGGAGUCUAACAUGCUUGCGAGUGUUUGGGUGGAAAAACCCAUGCGCGCGAUGAAAGUGAAAGUUGAGAUCCUCUUCAAAGGGGGAGCAUUGACGCCCGGACCAGACCUUUUGUGACGGAUCCGCGGUAGAGCAUGCAUGUUGGGACCCGAAAGAUGGUGAACUAUGCCUGAAUAGGGUGAAGCCAGAGGAAACUCUGGUGGAGGCUCGUAGCGAUUCUGACGUGCAAAUCGAUCGUCAAAUUUGGGUAUAGGGGCGAAAGACUAAUCGAACCAUCUAGUAGCUGGUUCCUGCC